GAGAAGCUUCGACUAAGGUUCGACUCGAGCGAAGCGAGAGAACGUUGCCGCAGGCAACGGCCCGAAGGGCGAGGCGCUUUAGCGCCGAGUC
This 91-nucleotide small RNA is filed under the name Klebsiella pneumoniae. Its description in RNAcentral is "RtT sRNA". It matches the Rfam family "RtT RNA", at positions 24 to 112 of the family's 130-position model. Rfam says of the family: This family represents a bacterial cis-regulatory element known as RtT RNA. The exact function of RtT is unknown although it is thought that it may be involved in changing the cellular response in relation to amino acid starvation. Lineage: Bacteria; Pseudomonadati; Pseudomonadota; Gammaproteobacteria; Enterobacterales; Enterobacteriaceae. The record is from RNAcentral.